CACGUAGGGUGCGAGCGUUGUCCGGAUUUAUUGGGCGUAAAGAGCGUGUAGGCGGCUUUGCAAGUCCGUUGUGAAAACUCGAGGCUCAACCUCGAGACGCCGGUGGAAACUGCAAAGCUAGAGUCCGGAAGGGGCGAGUGGAAUUCCUGGUGUAGCGGUGAAAUGCGCAGAUAUCAGGAGGAACACCUAUGGCGAAGGCAGCUCGCUGGGACGUGACUGACGCUGAGACGCGAAAGCGUGGGGAGCAAACAGG
This 253-nucleotide ribosomal RNA is filed under the name uncultured bacterium. RNAcentral describes it as "partial 16S ribosomal RNA". It matches the Rfam family "Bacterial small subunit ribosomal RNA", at positions 524 to 776 of the family's 1533-position model. The record is from RNAcentral.